Loxodonta africana (African savanna elephant) is the source of this 405-nucleotide non-coding RNA. The record is from the annotation of a RefSeq genome assembly. Lineage: Eukaryota; Metazoa; Chordata; Mammalia; Proboscidea; Elephantidae.
AUGGCUGUUCUCCUAACUUUGGGUAUUACGGGUGAUGCUAAAACCACACAGCCAAGUUCAAUAGAGAGUACCGAAGGACAACCUGUAAAUUUGCCUUGUAACCACUCCACAAUCAGUGGAAGCGAGUAUAUAUACUGGUAUCGACAGAUUCCCCACCGGGGUCCAGAAUAUGUGAUAAGUGGCCUAAAAGACGACGUGACCAAUGAAAUGGCCUCUCUGAUCAUCCCUACUGGCAGAAAAUCCAGUACCUUGAUCCUACCCCAUGCUACCCUGAAAGACACAGCCGUGUACUACUGCGUGGUGAGAGACACACAGUGGUUCGAGUGGGGCUACACCUGUGCGGUAUCUCUCUGGUGGGGGAAGGGAAGCAGUAGCAGCCAUCUAAGAGGCUACUGCACAAGAUGA